CUGAAACUUGUUAAAUGGCCCAGG
This 24-nucleotide non-coding RNA is filed under the name Cricetulus griseus (Chinese hamster). Lineage: Eukaryota; Metazoa; Chordata; Mammalia; Rodentia; Cricetidae. The record is from RNAcentral.